AGAGUUUGAUCCUGGCUCAGAGCGAACGCUGGCGGCGUGCUUAACACAUGCAAGUCGAGUGCGCGCCUGUAGCAAUACAGGUGGCGCACGGCGCACGGGUGCGUAACACGUGGGUAAUCUGCCCUUCGAUGGGGAAUAACUCGCCGAAAGGCGAGCUAAUUCCGCAUAACAUUCCGAGAACCUUGGUUUUUGGAUUCAAAGGCGUAAGUCGUCGGAGGAGGAGCCCGCGCACGAUUAGCUAGUUGGUGAGGUAAUGGCUCACCAAGGCUAUGAUCGUUAGCUGGUCUGAGAGGAUGGCCAGCCACACUGGAACUGAGACACGGUCCAGACUCCUACGGGAGGCAGCAGUGGGGAAUCUUGCACAAUGGGCGAAAGCCUGAUGCAGCGACGCCGCGUGGGGGAUGAAGCUUUUCGGAGUGUAAACCCCUUU
This 430-nucleotide ribosomal RNA is filed under the name uncultured bacterium. RNAcentral's name for it is "bacterial SSU rRNA". It matches the Rfam family "Bacterial small subunit ribosomal RNA", at positions 8 to 436 of the family's 1533-position model. The record is from RNAcentral.